RNAcentral lists this transfer RNA (72 nucleotides) under Camelus bactrianus (Bactrian camel). It matches the Rfam family "tRNA". From Rfam's summary of the family: Transfer RNA (tRNA) molecules are approximately 80 nucleotides in length. Lineage: Eukaryota; Metazoa; Chordata; Mammalia; Artiodactyla; Camelidae. RNAcentral also lists the same sequence under 2 other names. The record is from Rfam by way of RNAcentral.
GAGGGUAUAGCUCAGUGGUAGAGCACAUGCCUAGCAUGCACGAGGUCCUGAUUUGAAGCCCCAGUACCUCCA